RNAcentral lists this transfer-messenger RNA (368 nucleotides) under Aerococcaceae. RNAcentral describes it as "Granulicatella sp024543085 Standard tmRNA". It matches the Rfam family "transfer-messenger RNA". Rfam says of the family: Bacterial tmRNA, also known as 10Sa RNA or SsrA, is named for its dual tRNA and mRNA-like properties. Its role is to liberate the mRNA from a stalled ribosome. RNAcentral also lists the same sequence under 1 other name. Lineage: Bacteria; Bacillati; Bacillota; Bacilli; Lactobacillales. The record is from RNAcentral.
GGGGUCGUUACGGAUUCGACAGGUAUAGGUCGAGCAUUCAUCGCAUUUCGUAGGUUACGGCUACGUAAAAACGUUACAGUUAAAUAUAACUGACAAAAAACAAACAAACACUUUAGCUUUCGCAGCUUAAUACCUGCUAGCUAAGAUCCGCUCGGCAUCGCCCAUGUGCUCGAAUCCGGGUCUCACUUUCAGUGGGCUACGGUUAACUUUUCCGUCUGUCUAAGUUAAACAGAGAUAACCAGACUAGCUAAAUAUGACGCUUGUUUAUCAGCUAAUAUGCAGCGAACCUCCAAAUAGAUAAACUAUGAAUGUAGAAGUGGAUGUAUCGUUAUGCUUGGACAGGGGUUCAACUCCCCUCGGCUCCAUAA